UACGUAGGGGGCAAGCGUUGUCCGGAUUUAUUGGGCGUAAAGCGCUCGCAGGUGGUUCGUCGCGUCGUGCGUGAAAGACCCCGGCUCAACUGGGGGAGGUCGUGCGAUACGGGCGGACUGGAGGCCAGUAGGGGGAUGCGGAAUUCCGGGUGUAGUGGUGGAAUGCGUAGAGAUCCGGAGGAACACCAGCGGCGAAGGCGGCAUCCUGGACUGGUCCUGACACUCAUGAGCGAAAGCGUGGGGAGCGAUCCGG
RNAcentral lists this ribosomal RNA (253 nucleotides) under uncultured bacterium. RNAcentral describes it as "partial 16S ribosomal RNA". It matches the Rfam family "Bacterial small subunit ribosomal RNA", at positions 524 to 776 of the family's 1533-position model. The record is from RNAcentral.